UCUUAGGUGUUGAUGAAGGUCAAAGUCGU
RNAcentral lists this non-coding RNA (29 nucleotides) under Rattus norvegicus (Norway rat). The record is from RNAcentral. Lineage: Eukaryota; Metazoa; Chordata; Mammalia; Rodentia; Muridae.